UCUUCCCUUCCCCACCUUGAGUGUACAAUGGAGAGUGCUAGUGUGGUGUCACAUGGUGCAACAUGGCUCAGUGUUGUGUGAAACUAAGAUUUGGGGCAUAUUUUAUAAUGAACAUAACAUAUGAGCAUAACAGUCGUGAUUAACGUAUACAAUUAAAGAUAUGUGGAAAUGACUCCAUCUCCGACCACACAUCCUCUGAGUAAUUUUGAUGGGGAUGGCUUAUGUUCUACUGCCACCUCGUGGUGGGCAUUCUGUGAACAUGCAUCUUGGAACAGUGGGGAGAACCAGUUUGGACUUCUGAGGAUCCAAAAGCCCAAGAAAAAAAUCUGAGUUCUCACGACAAAGUCACUUCCUGCUACAACACCUGGAAAAUGUCAUGACCCGAGCUAGUCUCACUUCAGAGUCCCUGGUUUCUAGUACGGUGCCUGACAGAUAGAUGACUUUCUUUAUAUGUUGCUGAAGACAGGCAGAGAGGAAGAAAGGAAGAGAGGAUAAAGGGAGGAAUAAACUUGAUAUAAGCAUCUUUGCAUAAUUAACAACUGGGUCAAAUUUUCUUCAUUUCAUUGAGAUUCUUGAUACAAGCCUCUGCUGAUGAAUUGGAUUCCAAAAAGCAGAUAUUGUUGUCCAGGCCACACCAUACGGGACUUACCACUCCCAGUUGCUAACAUCUGCACGUAUUUGCCUGGAGGUCUCCUCUGGUCACCAGAUCCUACUCUGCCUGGGCCACAUGACAAGGUGAUGUGCUGAGGAACAAAAGCCCCCAGGAGUAUCCCUCAAGCAGUGUUGGACUGGAGUUGAGGUUAAUCGUCCUCGAAGAGAGAGAGAAACAAAAGAAAAAUGAAAAAAGGAAAGAAAUUUUCUCCACAAAGACUCAGAAAAGCUACAAUCCUAAGAAGUCAAAACUAUAAUCGGCUUGAGUUGAAGAAUCCAAGGAUCUUUACAGUUUUGUGACCUGUCCAAGGUUACACAGCUCACCUUUUCAUUUUGCACUGGGCCCAAGUUAUGUAGCCAGCCUGCUUAGAGAUCUCUACUUACCCCAGUUUUCUGAUUUAUAAAACAAAAAUAAUAAUAAUAUUGUUAAAUUAAAUGAAGCCUAAAGCUGCCUCC
Molecule: long non-coding RNA, 1107 nt
Organism: Homo sapiens (human)
Lineage: Eukaryota; Metazoa; Chordata; Mammalia; Primates; Hominidae
Product: long intergenic non-protein coding RNA 2401
Source: Ensembl